Molecule: unclassified non-coding RNA, 331 nt
Filed under: soil metagenome
Description: partial contains 5.8S ribosomal RNA, internal transcribed spacer 2, and large subunit ribosomal RNA
Rfam family: 5.8S ribosomal RNA (bases 1-120)
Source: RNAcentral
GAUGAAGAACUUAGCGAAAUGCGAUAAGUAAUGUGAAUUGCAGAAUUCAGUGAAUCAUCGAAUCUUUGAACGCACAUUGCGCCCCCUGGUAUUCCGGGGGGCAUGCCUGUUCGAGCGUCAUUUCACCACUCAAGCCUCGCUUGGUAUUGGGCAACGCGGUCCGCCGCGUGCCUCAAAUCGACCGGCUGGGUCUUCUGUCCCCUAAGCGUUGUGGAAACUAUUCGCUAAAGGGUGUUCGGGAGGCUACGCCGUAAAACAACCCCAUUUCUAAGGUUGACCUCGGAUCAGGUAGGGAUACCCGCUGAACUUAAGCAUAUCAAUAAGCGGAGGA